AAUUCCGUUUACGUUCGCUGAGUUUGGCGGGUUUUUUUCUUCUUUGUUCGCGCUCUCAUGGAGAUGGAAUACUCUCCUUGAAACUAUGCAGAAAAUCCUUGCAUUACUUACAAAUUACUGACUCGCAACUUGAAGAUUUGACAGGAUACAGCUUAGCGAAAUCUAUGGUAUUGCUGGUGGUAUAAAGUUGAGGCCGAGUAUGGUAACUGAAAUAACGGUGACAUAGUCAAGGAAUCGUGUGGGAGACCCUUUUUACGGAUGUGGGAGGAUCAAACAUCCAAUAUUCUAGAAAUUCAGAUGCACGAUUUCUUGGCUUCGCAGUGCUCAACAUGGACUAGGGAGCUGUUAGCGAUCAGGCGUCUGCCAGAACUUGUUCUCUGAACGGCUGGCCUCUAUUACAAUACAGCGAAGCCUGGUUAGUUUAUUUCCUUCCUCCCCACCCUCUGUUUAUAUAUCUGUCUGUUUUGAAUCAGCGCGCUACAAUUUGCUAGCUCUUUUUGUAACCUUUUAAAACAGGCUAUGCAUGAGAUUCCUGCAAGAGACAAAAAGCAUGAGACGCAGUUGCAACUUACAAAAGGAUUAAAGAAAAAACUGGAAGCGAGAAGCAGGGAAGGGUUAAAAGGUACAACAACUCCCAACAAUUGAUUCUUCUACUAGUUUUUUUCAAAGUUUUUUUCUUCUUCUUUUUCUUUUUUCUUUUUUUUUUUCUUUUUUCUUUUUUCUUUUUUGGCCUUUGAACCAUAACAACUACAAUAUUUUUCCAUCCCUGUGACUGUCUACCUGUGGCUACAAAAGUCCAAAAG
Non-coding RNA from Cucurbita pepo subsp. pepo (vegetable marrow), 803 nucleotides. The record is from RefSeq and is a predicted model, not a curated record. NCBI's taxonomy places the organism in Eukaryota, Viridiplantae, Streptophyta, Magnoliopsida, Cucurbitales, Cucurbitaceae.